Molecule: long non-coding RNA, 378 nt
Filed under: Eutrema salsugineum
Lineage: Eukaryota; Viridiplantae; Streptophyta; Magnoliopsida; Brassicales; Brassicaceae
Description: long non-coding RNA (ESAL_LNC001389)
Source: RNAcentral
GUCACACGGCAAAGACAAGCCAUUUCAGUCAGCAUCUCAAGCCCAUUUUCUUCAUUUGACCUUUCCUCUUCUUGCCUCAUUGCUCUUACCCAAUCCAACAUAUCGUCUUCCGCCAUAAACGGUUGCCUCGAAGCUGUUUUACCGGUCAGUAGCUCUAAGAGGAAGACUCCAAACGAGUAUACAUCGCAUUUGGAUGUGGGACUGUUUACUGUUGAUUUCCUGAUCUCUGGUGCUUUGUAGGAAGCCAUGUCAGGGUCGCUGGGAGGGACAGAGGAGUCUGUCAAGACACUGAGACAGUAAUCUGUGAGACAAGCUUCGAAGUCGUGACCGAGGAGGAUGUUAGUGGACUUGAGAUUCCCAUGGAAUUUUGCAGAUGAU